AGGAGAGCAUCAUUUUUUUGAGAUUUUAUAACUCAAACCAACUUUGGAGUUGUCUUGUCUGAUUUGGAGAGUCAUCAUUCUUGGUCUUCCCUCUUAAAGGCCACUGAUGAAGAGCAGGCGGUGACUGGGAUGAAUGCUGGUCAGAGAGGAGAAUCUUCUUUCCCCUAAACUGAUGCAGCAGUGGUUUUAAAGGAGAACGCUGCCCUGGAUAAUGUAGAAGAUGUCACAUGCUGUGCUGAUGUGGCUUCUUCAUGACUACAUCAAUUAUGCUAAAGAGAUCAUGAAAGUUGACAGUGAUGCAUGAUCUGUAUUCUUGGACUAUGAAACAAAAAGUG
This is a long non-coding RNA of Carassius carassius (crucian carp), 335 nucleotides long. RefSeq lists it as uncharacterized. The transcript is spliced from 3 exons. NCBI's taxonomy places the organism in Eukaryota, Metazoa, Chordata, Actinopteri, Cypriniformes, Cyprinidae. The record is from RefSeq and is a predicted model, not a curated record.